Small nucleolar RNA from Jaculus jaculus (lesser Egyptian jerboa), 79 nucleotides. The record is from Ensembl. Lineage: Eukaryota; Metazoa; Chordata; Mammalia; Rodentia; Dipodidae.
UUCUAUGAUGACAAUUUGGUAAUGCUUCAGACUCCUGACUGUGUGGGGGGGAAGGCAACCUUAGAGUGCUCAGAGAGAG